RNAcentral lists this microRNA (21 nucleotides) under Oryza sativa (Asian cultivated rice). Its description in RNAcentral is "osa-miR166j-5p". Its record names the gene osa-miR166j-5p. The record is from miRBase by way of RNAcentral. Lineage: Eukaryota; Viridiplantae; Streptophyta; Magnoliopsida; Poales; Poaceae. RNAcentral also lists the same sequence under 1 other name.
GAAUGACGUCCGGUCUGAAGA